This 435-nucleotide ribosomal RNA is filed under the name uncultured bacterium. RNAcentral describes it as "bacterial SSU rRNA". It matches the Rfam family "Bacterial small subunit ribosomal RNA", at positions 955 to 1395 of the family's 1533-position model. The record is from RNAcentral.
AUUAACGCGAAGAACCUUACCUACCCUUGACAUGUCCAGAACCCUGCAGAGAUGCGGGGGUGCCCGAAAGGGAAUUGGAACACAGGUGCUGCAUGGCUGUCGUCAGCUCGUGUCGUGAGAUGUUGGGUUAAGUCCCGCAACGAGCGCAACCCUUAUCAUUAGUUGCUACGCAAGGGCACUCUAAUGGGACUGCCGGUGACAAACCGGAGGAAGGUGGGGAUGACGUCAAGUCCUCAUGGCCCUUAUGGGUAGGGCUUCACACGUAAUACAAUGGCGCAUACAGAGGGCUGCAAACCCGCGAGGGGAAGCCAAUCCCAAAAAGUGCGUCGUAGUCCGGAUUGUUCUCUGCAACUCGAGAGCAUGAAGUCGGAAUCGCUAGUAAUCGCGGAUCAGCAUGUCGCGGUGAAUACGUUCCCGGGCCUUUACACACCGAAU